This 493-nucleotide long non-coding RNA is filed under the name Dromaius novaehollandiae (emu). RNAcentral describes it as "lncRNA (ENSDNVG00000000212.1)". The record is from RNAcentral. Lineage: Eukaryota; Metazoa; Chordata; Aves; Casuariiformes; Dromaiidae.
GGGACAAACAGUUGCAGAGGGGGACCCAGCUUCUCCUGUCUUCUGCAAGCUCCUGGGGCCUGCAGGUCAGAUUAUCUCCACCUACUGUGCAAAGAUACCCAAGCUUUUAACUUUGCCUUUAAAACGAGAAACUGGAUAAGCCAGAGUAUUUAACUCCCCAAAGAUUUAAGGUGGGAGUGAGGAAGAAGACCGAUAAGGAAUAAGUAUGCUAACCUGGACCAGAAAGGAAGCCUCUGUGAUUCCAAAGGACUACAGAAUGAUCCUGAAUCUAAACCCGAAGACCCCGAGUAGCAGCAUAAAUACAGGGAUGCUGCCUGGUGUCCAGAAGAGGAAGAUGCUGCAAGACUUUCUUCUUCAUAUCCUUCCAGAUGCCCCAGGUGUCUACAUGAACACUGGCUCUGAAAGAACUUGUCAGCUCAUCUCAUCCCAUCUGAGAAAUGGAGACCAUCUUAAAAGUACUCAGAACUCUCCCAGAAAAUUACUAGAGGAGUAA